RNAcentral lists this ribosomal RNA (382 nucleotides) under uncultured bacterium. Its description in RNAcentral is "bacterial SSU rRNA". It matches the Rfam family "Bacterial small subunit ribosomal RNA", at positions 30 to 414 of the family's 1533-position model. The record is from RNAcentral.
AUUGAACGCUGGCGGCAUGCUUUACACAUGCAAGUCGAACGGUAACAGGUCUUCGGAUGCUGACGAGUGGCGAACGGGUGAGUAAUGUAUCGGAACGUGCCCAGUAGUGGGGGAUAACUACUCGAAAGAGUGGCUAAUACCGCAUGAGAACUGAGGUUGAAAGCGGGGGACCUUCGGGCCUCGCGCUACUGGAGCGGCCGAUAUCAGAUUAGGUAGUUGGUGGGGUAAAGGCCUACCAAGCCGACGAUCUGUAGCUGGUCUGAGAGGACGACCAGCCACACUGGGACUGAGACACGGCCCAGACUCCUACGGGAGGCAGCAGUGGGGAAUUUUGGACAAUGGACGCAAGUCUGAUCCAGCAAUGCCGCGUGCAGGACGAAGG